This 411-nucleotide ribosomal RNA is filed under the name Hyalomma isaaci. Its description in RNAcentral is "partial 16S ribosomal RNA". Lineage: Eukaryota; Metazoa; Arthropoda; Arachnida; Ixodida; Ixodidae. The record is from RNAcentral.
UGACUAUACAAAGGUAUUGUAAUAAGAUUUUAAUUGAAUGCUAAAAGAAUGGAAAAUUAAAAAAAAACUUUUUUAAAAAUAAAAAUUAAAUUUUUUUUAAUUUGUGCAAAAACAAUUAUAUAUAUUAAAGACAAGAAGACCCUAAGAAUUUAUGAUUUUACAAUUAAAAAAUUUUUUUUAAAAAAAUCUUGAUUGGGGCGAUCAAAAAAUAUCAAUAACUUUUUAAAAAUUUAAGAUGAUCUAUUAUUAGUAAACUAAUGAAUUAAAUACUCUAGGGAUAACAGCGUAAUAAUUUUUGAUAGAUCUUAUUGACAAAAUAGUUUGCGACCUCGAUGUUGGAUUAGGAUUCUUUUUUAAUGAAGAAGUUAAAAAAAGAAGUUUGUUCAACUUUUAAAUUCCUACUUGAUCUGA